CAGCCGAACGAACACUUUAUUUGAUUUCCUUCGGGACUGAUUAUUUUGUGACUGAGUGGCGGACGGGUGAGUAACGCGUGGGUAACCUGCCUUGUACAGGGGGAUAACAGUUGGAAACGGCUGCUAAUACCGCAUAAGCGCACAGCAUCGCAUGAUGCAGUGUGAAAAACUCCGGUGGUAUAAGAUGGACCCGCGUUGGAUUAGCUAGUUGGUGAGGUAACGGCCCACCAAGGCGACGAUCCAUAGCCGACCUGAGAGGGUGACCGGCCACAUUGGGACUGAGACACGGCCCAAACCCCUACGGGAGGCAGCAGUGGGGAAUAUUGCACAAUGGGCGAAAGCCUGAUGCAGCGACGCCGCGUGAGCGAAGAAGUAUUUCGGUAUGUAAAGCUCUAUCAGCAGGGAAGAUAAUGCCGGUACCUGACUAAGAAGCACCGGCUAAAUACGUGCCAGCAGCCGCGGUAAUACGUAUGGUGCAAGCGUUAUCCGGAUUUACUGGGUGUAAAGGGAGCGCAGGCGGUGCGGCAAGUCUGAUGUGAAAGCCCGGGGCUCAACCCCGGUACUGCAUUGGAAACUGUCGUACUAGAGUGUCGGAGGGGUAAGCGGAAUUCCUAGUGUAGCGGUGAAAUGCGUAGAUAUUAGGAGGAACACCAGUGGCGAAGGCGGCUUACUGGACGAUAACUGACGCUGAGGCUCGAAAGCGUGGGGAGCAAAC
RNAcentral lists this ribosomal RNA (715 nucleotides) under uncultured bacterium. Its description in RNAcentral is "bacterial SSU rRNA". It matches the Rfam family "Bacterial small subunit ribosomal RNA", at positions 59 to 773 of the family's 1533-position model. The record is from RNAcentral.